UCUCCGUGAUCUUCUAGGUGAUCUUGCUGAUUUCUCUAGUGAUACUACUUAGGGAUCGGGGUGGCUCCCUCUAAUGUGGUCAACUUGAACUCCUAUUCCAGUGUGUUUCCCCCUGUGUUAACUGCCAUCUUAGACUCACCUGUGUUUUGGUUCCAAGGUGGAAGAGAAGGGCUAGGCAUUGAGCUAGGAAGUAUCUGGGGCCAUCUUGUUUGUUUUUAGAAAUCAUUUGAUGGCAGGAAUAAAGGUUGGGGACCCAUAUAGGAACACUUUAUCCUAAACAUUCUAUUCAUCUUUCUUUUAAAAAGUCAUCAUAAGGGAGAAUCUAGGUGGCUCAGUGGAUUGAGAACCGGACGUAGAGAUGGAAGGUCCUAGGUUUAAAUCUGGCCUCAGACACCUCCUAGCUGUGUGACCCUGGGCAAGUCACUUGACCCCCAUUGCCUAGCCCUUACCACUCUUCUGCUCCAUUCUCUCCAUUCUAAGAUGGAAGCACACCCUGAACCCAAGGAUGGAAUUUCUGUGUGGCCAGCAAGGACUUAUCUUCGGAAGCUUCCAAGAAUUUCCAAGGGAAAAAGGUCCACUUGAUUUUCCUUUACUUUCACAUAUUUGGCUUGAGGAUUAUCCAUCUUU
This 627-nucleotide long non-coding RNA is filed under the name Monodelphis domestica (gray short-tailed opossum). Its description in RNAcentral is "lncRNA (ENSMODG00000039274.1)". Lineage: Eukaryota; Metazoa; Chordata; Mammalia; Didelphimorphia; Didelphidae. The record is from RNAcentral.